Molecule: ribosomal RNA, 671 nt
Filed under: Miconia subcompressa subsp. subcompressa
Lineage: Eukaryota; Viridiplantae; Streptophyta; Magnoliopsida; Myrtales; Melastomataceae
Description: eukaryotic LSU rRNA
Rfam family: 5.8S ribosomal RNA (bases 290-445)
Source: RNAcentral
GGUUUCCGUAGGUGAACCUGCGGAAGGAUCAUUGUCGAAAUCGAACGGAAGAACGACCCGCGAAUCGUCAUUGCGUACUAGACAGAGCCCGUGAGCACCUAACGCUCAUGGGACUCGCGUCGCGUCGGCGUGGGUGUACUCGAGACCAGCGUCGUACCGGCGGACAAACAACGUCAGCACGGAUCGUGCCAAGGAGCUGCAUGGAGAGAAUCGUCGUCCCACGCCUUUGAUAGUCCUCGAUGCGGGACGGGGGGCGGGGGAUGUACGCAAUCUCUACUAAAGUCUAAACGACUCUCGGCAACGGAUAUCUCGGCUCUUGCAUCGAUGAAGAACGUAGCGAAAUGCGAUACUUGGUGUGAAUUGCAGAAUCCCGCGAACCAUCAAUUCUUUGAACGCAAGUUGCGCCCGAAGCCAUUCGGCCGAGGGCACGCCUGCCUGGGUGUCGUGAAUCCCCUUGCCCCUAGGCACCCGCAUGAGCAUUGGCGGGGAUAUAUGCUCGGGCGCAGAAUAUGGUCUCCCGUGGGAUCGGCAUGCACGGCAUGUCGAGGUGCGGUUGGCCGAAAAUCGAGCAAUGGCUGUGACGGGCACCACGGCGUUCGGUGGAUCGAAUGAGAUUGGCUGCGCCGUGGGCUCGGCAUUAGGCGGGCUCCGGACUUUGAGUAUCCCCGAGU